UUUUUCACGGUGUUCGUUUUCCCUCUUCCCCCCCUCCCCUCUCUCUCUCCGAACCUCUCUGAAAUCCAAAGAAACGGCGGCGGAUCGUCGGAACAACGAUCUCCGGAGAAUCAGAAGCGUAAAUGGCGGCACCGGAAGCUCCGGCUGAUGAAACAGAUGGGUUGGGAAGAAGGAGAAGGGCUUGGCAAGGACAGGCAAGGGGUCAAAGGUGAAAGUUGUAGGAUUGAGAUGAGAAAACUGGAGCGGAGCUUCUUGGCCAAUGUACUUAUAUUAUGUGCACUUUUUCAAUUGUGUGAGAUUAUAUACGAAUGUAUGAACUAUGAAUUGAAUGCCCAAAUGUGAAAUCUGCGUUUAUGGUUAAGUUUUGUAAAUGUUGGUCGUAUCA
Tarenaya hassleriana is the source of this 385-nucleotide long non-coding RNA. RefSeq lists it as uncharacterized. The transcript is spliced from 3 exons. The record is from RefSeq and is a predicted model, not a curated record. NCBI's taxonomy places the organism in Eukaryota, Viridiplantae, Streptophyta, Magnoliopsida, Brassicales, Cleomaceae.